This 253-nucleotide ribosomal RNA is filed under the name uncultured bacterium. RNAcentral describes it as "partial 16S ribosomal RNA". It matches the Rfam family "Bacterial small subunit ribosomal RNA", at positions 524 to 776 of the family's 1533-position model. The record is from RNAcentral.
UACAUGGGGUGCAAACGUUGCUCGGAAUUAUUGGGCGUAAAGCGCACGUAGGCGGUUCGUUAAGUCGGAUGUGAAAGCCCUCGGCUCAACUGAGGAAGUGCACCCGAAACUGGCGAGCUUGAGUACGAAAGAGGAUCGCGGAAUUCCCGGUGUAGAGGUGAAAUUCGUAGAUAUCGGGAGGAACACCGGUGGCGAAGGCGGGUCUCUGGGCCGAUACUGACGCUGAGGAGCGAAAGCGUGGGGAGCGUACAGG